This 393-nucleotide ribosomal RNA is filed under the name uncultured bacterium. Its description in RNAcentral is "partial 16S ribosomal RNA". It matches the Rfam family "Bacterial small subunit ribosomal RNA", at positions 523 to 918 of the family's 1533-position model. The record is from RNAcentral.
AUACGGAGGACGCGAGCGUUAUCCGGAUUCAUUGGGUUUAAAGGGUGCGCAGGCGGCCGUGCAAGUCAGCGGUGAAAGCCCGGGGCUCAACCCCGGAAGUGCCGUUGAUACUGCGUGGCUGGAAUGCGGUCGAGGCGGGCGGAACGGGGCGUGUAGCGGGGGAAUGCGUGGAUAAUCCACAGAACGCCGGUGGCGGAGGCAGCUCGCCAGGCCUGCAUUGACGCGCGGGCACGAAAGCGUGGGGAUCGAACAGGAUUAGAUACCCUGGUAGUCCACGCCGUAAACGAUGGGCGCUCGUCGUCGGCGACAGACAGUCGGCGGCCAAGCGAAAGCGAUAAGCGCCCCACCUGGGGAGUACGGUCGCAAGGCUGAAACUCAAAUGAAUUGACGGGG